UACAGAGGUCCCAAGCGUUACUGAGAAUCACUGGGUUUAAAGGGUGCGUAGGUGGUCCGUUAAGUCAGUUGUGAAAUCCCCGGGCUCAACCCGGGAACUGCUUCUGAUACUGGCGGACUUGAGGCCAGUAGGGGUCACUAGAACUGACGGUGGAGCGGUGAAAUGCGUAGAUAUCGUCAGGAAUGCCGGUGGUGAAGACGGGUGACUGGGCUGGUUCUGACACUGAGGCACGAAAGCGUGGUGAGCGAACGGG
RNAcentral lists this ribosomal RNA (253 nucleotides) under uncultured bacterium. Its description in RNAcentral is "partial 16S ribosomal RNA". It matches the Rfam family "Bacterial small subunit ribosomal RNA", at positions 524 to 776 of the family's 1533-position model. The record is from RNAcentral.